GUGCCAGCCGCCGCGGUAAGACGGACCAUCCAAACGUUAUUCGGAAUUACUGGGCUUAAAGGGUGCGUAGGCGGCGCGGAAAGUUCGGUGUGAAAUCCCUCAGCUUAACUGAGGAAUGGCGCUGAAUACUACCGUGCUCGAGGAAGACAGAGGUAAGCGGAACAGCGGGUGGAGCGGUGAAAUGCGUUGAUAUCCGCUGGAACACCGGUGGCGAAAGCGGCUUACUGGGUCUUUUCUGACGCUGAGGCACGAAAGCUAGGGUAGCGAACGGGAUUAGAAACCCCCGUAGUCC
Molecule: ribosomal RNA, 292 nt
Filed under: uncultured bacterium
Lineage: Bacteria
Description: partial 16S ribosomal RNA
Rfam family: Bacterial small subunit ribosomal RNA
Source: RNAcentral